Molecule: long non-coding RNA, 560 nt
Organism: Andrographis paniculata
Lineage: Eukaryota; Viridiplantae; Streptophyta; Magnoliopsida; Lamiales; Acanthaceae
Exons: 3
Source: RefSeq, a predicted model, not a curated record
AUGAUGAAAUUUGGGCAAAAUUAAGGUGUGUCCCUAAUUCGGAGGAAGAGCACGAUGAAGAUGUGUUCUCAACUCCCUCCCGAUUCCGUGUACCCUCGCAUUCAUAUCCCUUUUGAGGAUGUCGAGUUCUUAUGGAAGAACGUGGUAGCACAUAUAACUUCUCGAUUGCUUCAAAAUCAGAUUUCCAUCACCUAGCAACGGUCUUGGUGUAUAUUUUAAACCUCUUGGCAGCUUUCAAGAAACGUACCUUUAAUCAGCUCUCUGAAUGGAUCGCACCUUCCCAAAAUAAAUUCGACAAGUUUGUGGUGCUCAUUUGUUGUAAGGUGUUUAUUUGCCAUCUUUUUAGUGUAGUAGCUGUGUAUGAAGAGAAAUAAAUAAGGUUGUAUGAAUAGAAAUUAAUGGCGUAUUUAUAGCUGUGAUUUAUGUGUUGUUUAUCAGGAGGAAAAUUUGAUAGGAAGUUUUUGGGGGUAAUUGGGUUAAAUUAGGAGUGAUUUUAUUGGUGUUUUGGAGGGAACACGUUUAGUAGGAGAGGGAAAAGUUUCCCACUGUAAUUUUUUUUU